Molecule: ribosomal RNA, 492 nt
Filed under: uncultured bacterium
Lineage: Bacteria
Description: bacterial SSU rRNA
Rfam family: Bacterial small subunit ribosomal RNA
Source: RNAcentral
ACUCAAAGGAAUUGACGGGCACCCGCACAAGCGGUGGAGCAUGCUGUUUAAUUCGAAAAUACGCGAAAAACCUUACCUAGAUUUGACAUCCCGGGCAAAGCUAUAGAGAUAUAGUGGAGGCUAUCCCGGAGACAGAUGGUGCAUGGUUGUCGUCAGCUCGUGUCGUGAGAUGUUUGGUUAAGUCCAACAACGAGCGCAACCCCUAUUAUUAAUUGCUAACAUUCAGUUGAGAACCUUAAUAAUACUGCCGGUGCAAGCCGGAGGAAGGUGGGGAUGAGGUCAAAUCAUCAUGCCUCUUACAUCUAGGGCUACAGGCGUGCUACAAUGGCUGGUACAACGAGUCGCAACACAGUGAUGUGGAGCUAAUCUCUUAAAGCCAGUCCCAGUUCGGAUUGGAGUCUGCAACUCGACUCCAUGAAGUUGGAAUCGCUAGUAAUCCCGAAUCAGAAUGUCGGGGUGAAUACGUUCUCGGGUGUUGUACACACCGCCCGU